Molecule: transfer RNA, 69 nt
Filed under: Sphenophryne schlaginhaufeni (Wandolleck's land frog)
Lineage: Eukaryota; Metazoa; Chordata; Amphibia; Anura; Microhylidae
Description: Liophryne schlaginhaufeni (Wandolleck's land frog) tRNA-Lys
Rfam family: tRNA
About the family: Transfer RNA (tRNA) molecules are approximately 80 nucleotides in length. Their secondary structure includes four short double-helical elements and three loops (D, anti-codon, and T loops). Further hydrogen bonds mediate the characteristic L-shaped molecular structure. tRNAs have two regions of fundamental functional importance: the anti-codon, which is responsible for specific mRNA codon recognition, and the 3' end, to which the tRNAs corresponding amino acid is attached (by aminoacyl-tRNA synthetases). tRNAs cope with the degeneracy of the genetic code in two manners: having more than one tRNA (with a specific anti-codon) for a particular amino acid; and 'wobble' base-pairing, i.e. permitting non-standard base-pairing at the 3rd anti-codon position.
Source: RNAcentral
CACUAUGAAGCUACAGGACAGCAACAGCCUUUUAAGCUGCAGAUUGAUGGUUCAGACCACCCCUAGUGA